CUACGUGCCAGCAGCCGCGGUAAUACGGAAGGUCCAGGCGUUAUCCGGAUUUAUUGGGUUUAAAGGGAGCGUAGGCUGGAGAUUAAGUGUGUUGUGAAAUGUAGACGCUCAACGUCUGACUUGCAGCGCAUACUGGUUUCCUUGAGUACGCACAACGUUGGCGGAAUUCGUCGUGUAGCGGUGAAAUGCUUAGAUAUGACGAAGAACUCCGAUUGCGAAGGCAGCUGACGGGAGCGCAACUGACGCUUAAGCUCGAAGGUGCGGGUAUCGAACAGGAUUAGAUACCCUGGUAGUCCGCACAGUAAACGAUGGAUGCCCGCUGUUGGUACCUGGUAUCAGCGGCUAAGCGAAAGCAUUAAGCAUCCCACCUGGGGAGUACGCCGGCAACGGUGAAACUCAAAGGAAUUGACGGGGGCCCGCACAAGCGGAGGAACAUGUGGUUUAAUUCGAUGAUACGCGAGGAACCUUACCCGGGCUUGAA
RNAcentral lists this ribosomal RNA (481 nucleotides) under uncultured bacterium. RNAcentral describes it as "bacterial SSU rRNA". It matches the Rfam family "Bacterial small subunit ribosomal RNA", at positions 501 to 985 of the family's 1533-position model. The record is from RNAcentral.